Molecule: long non-coding RNA, 412 nt
Filed under: Myripristis murdjan (pinecone soldierfish)
Lineage: Eukaryota; Metazoa; Chordata; Actinopteri; Holocentriformes; Holocentridae
Description: lncRNA (ENSMMDG00005001677.1)
Source: RNAcentral
CACUCCCUGCUCCUCUGUGUGAGUUCGGUUUAUUUUGAAGUCGUUGCUGUCAGUCAGCUGAUGCGGAAGGCUGCGCGUGUGUUUUGUGGCUUUUAUUGUGAAACGAAAACGGUCCGGAAAUGCAAAAAAAAAAAAAAAAAAAAAAAAGUGUGUCGCAGCUCACUAAAGUGUAAACCCGGGAAGUUGCAGGUGCAGAAAAAUGAACCUUAUUCUGAACUCAGCCCGCAGGAGAGCCGAGGGAAAUGUCUUCAGCGAGGGAGAAGAUGAUCUCCAGCCUCCUGCUGCUGCUGGUCCUGACCUCCUCUGUCUGCGGACGAAUUGUUGUGAAUGUGAGCCAGACUGUCUACCAGGCUGUGGAGAACAGUAACAUCAUGAUGGAGUGGAUCUUCACGCCCAUCAUUACCCUCACCAA